RNAcentral lists this long non-coding RNA (324 nucleotides) under Fukomys damarensis (Damara mole-rat). RNAcentral describes it as "lncRNA (ENSFDAG00000023286.1)". The record is from RNAcentral. Lineage: Eukaryota; Metazoa; Chordata; Mammalia; Rodentia; Bathyergidae.
UAGUAAGUUACUAAUUUUGCCAUUUUGUUUUGUUUGUUUGUGUUUUUUUUGGUACUAGGGAUUGAACUUGGGACCUUGCACUUGUGAAGCAGGCAGCGGAACCACUGAGCUAAAUCCCUGGCCCACUAAUUUUGCCACCUUGUUAGUUCAAAUGAUCAUUAAAGUGUGAAAAAAAUCCCAGCAUAUAUACAAUAACUACCAGCAAAUCCUGAUUCUGAAAGCAAGGCUAAUUGACACAAAACAAACCUCAGGAAGAACUCUUGCUAUUGUCUUGGCAGCAGCUCCUCCUCCAGCCAAGCCAGCAGCUUCGUCACAUAUUCCAGA